UCGUGAAGGUGGAGGUGAGAGGGCUUAU
Molecule: non-coding RNA, 28 nt
Filed under: Rattus norvegicus (Norway rat)
Lineage: Eukaryota; Metazoa; Chordata; Mammalia; Rodentia; Muridae
Source: RNAcentral